RNAcentral lists this unclassified non-coding RNA (2992 nucleotides) under Drosophila mojavensis. RNAcentral describes it as "GI13236". The record is from RNAcentral. Lineage: Eukaryota; Metazoa; Arthropoda; Insecta; Diptera; Drosophilidae.
AUAGUUUUUCUCAUUUGACAGUGCUUGAAAUUUUUAUAAAAUUUACAAACUAUUCUGAAGAAAAAUCGAAAUAAGCAAAAUGAAUGAGGGGAGUGAAUACUCCAUACACUCUAUAUGUCGCAUUUGCUUAAACCAUUUGCGAAACGAUCCGGCAUACGACCUAUUUCUUGUCCCUGGUCUGGCCAAGAAACUUUGUGUGUGCACUUCACUCUCAGUGGAGCAGCACGAUGGCUUCCCGAAAAACCUUUGCUCCACUUGCUAUACCCGGCUAAACGACUUGCAUGGAUUUCAGAAGCAAUGCGUGGACUCUGCCCAAAAGUUUCAAGAAAUGGUCGCCAACAAUUAUUUCACACCUGUUAUUGCUGAUAUUAAUCAAAUUGACAAUGUGGAUAUUCUUCAAGUACCGCCCCCGGAUGGAGAAAUGGAUGAAGAUCGCAUCAACUUCGAUCCACUUCUGAAUACUAAAAUAGAAAUCAUCGAAAACGAAGAGGAUGUCUUCAAAAUGCUAGAAGAUGUUGAUAAGGAUGUGGAGGAAGUGGAGAAGGCGAAGGAGUCCUCAAGCGAGAGCGAAGCCGAAAAUGACGAUGAUGAUGUUGAUUUUGAAGCAAAUAGCAGCGAAUCUGACGACGCUAUGCCCUUGUCCCGUCUACGAAGCAGUACUAGAGCAACCAAAUCGAAGGCAAAGAAAAAAGCUGAUGAUGAUGAUGAUGAUUCUUCUAGCUCUGACUCUGACAAUGAUGACGAUGACGACGAUGAUGAUGACGAUAAGCCCAAAACAAAACCAAAACGCAAACGCAUUCCGGCCGCUGAGCGACAUCUUCACCGUCUCAUCGAUUGCCACAUCUGUCAUCAGAAAUUCAAGAAGGCAAUUCGUUAUGAGGAGCACAUGAAGCAUCACAACGAUCUGUUGCCAUUCCAGUGUACUGUGGAGACCUGCAAGAAGGGCUUUACCACGGCUGGUGGUCUGCGACUUCAUAUGGAUCACGCCCAUUCGGAAUUCUCUGAGGUUCAUGCCUGUACUUUUGAGGGAUGCGACAAGACAUUCCCCCGAUCUGUAUUGCUAACGUUCCAUAUGAAGAAGGUGCACAAAGUGGCCAAGGCUGAAACCCGCAAUCAUCCAUGCACAGAGUGCGAAAAGGUUUUCCGCUGUCCAACAGCACUUAAGAAGCAUAUGUACAAGCAUACUGGAGAGGAGCUGCCUUUUGCAUGUGAAAUCUGUGGCAAACGCUUCCACAUACACAGUGUGCUCAGGGAUCAUCUCUUGCGCCACGCCGGCGUGAAGAAUCACGUUUGUCCCUACUGUGGCGUGGGUAAGACAACUCGUCAGGAGUGGAACAAGCACAUAUUGACACACACUAGAGAGAAGCAGUUCCAGUGUCGCCAGUGCGAUCAUUCAUCUCAUAAUAAACAGGCUCUAUCCAAUCACGUCAAGGUGGUUCACAUGAAGAUCAAGAACUUUGCCUGCCAAUAUUGCGGCAAGACAUUUGGCAAAUCGCACGCCUGCAAGAUCCACGAGAGACUCCACACGGGCGAGAAUUGCUGCGAGUGCAAGAUCUGUGGUAAGAUCUUCUUGUUCGAGAAGCGAUUGACAAAGCAUUUGCAGAUUCACGAGAAGCGUGAGAUACCACCACCAACAGCUGCUGGCAAUCCGACAGUCGAAGGAGAUGCUCAAACAACACCGACUAUGAACCAGGAAAUGGCAGAGCCUGUGGACAUCAAGCCCGUGCCAAUAGUUCCGCCUAAACCCAAAAACUCGCAUCGAGUUGAGCGUGUGGACAUAUCUCAGCUGGCAGGCACUUCUGUCAACCCCAUACCUUCGGUUUCUGUGCCAUCCUGGUCGCCGCAGGUCAACUUUACCAAGAAGGAGGGACAGCACAUUUGUCCAGGUUGUGGACGGGGCUUCAACCACAUUGGCAACAUGAAACUUCACUACAAGAUCAUUCACGAAAAGGUGAAAGAUUUCGCCUGUCGCUACUGUCCCAAGCGUUUCGCCAAGGCGCAAUACUUGCGCAAUCACGAAUAUAUUCACACAGGCGAGAAACCAUUCGAGUGCAAGAUAUGCGGCAAACAUUUCCGUCAGGAGCAGGUGUUGAAGACGCACUUGAAGGUGCACGACAAGCCACCGAAGCCGCCAAAGGCCAAGAAACCACCCAAGCCGUCUGUUAGCAAAGCAAAGGGAUUGAAGGUCGAGCUCAACAAAAGGCAACCAAAGAUUUUCGAAGAGUUCCAGGAUCCCGCUGCCGAACGUGCGGCCGCAACUGCUGCUUUGCUCGCCCAACAGAUGGAAGAGAAUGAAGCAAAGCGAAAGGCGGAGGAGGAGCAACGUAAGAUUCAAGAGGCCGCCUGCGAGCAGCUGAACAGACUGCAGAAACAGGUGCAAAGCGAAAAGGGCUCAUACGAUAGCUACUAUGGACAGAAGGCAGAGGCUGAGGGGACUAGCUUGGAUGCCCUGAAAUUAGAUCAUGUGUAAAUGACGGCGGUAAUAAGUAAGUGUUUGAGUGUAAGUGUGAGCAAUAUUUUAUAUUUGGCUAUAAAAUCUUCCAGCUGUCCCAGUCCCAAGUCCAAGUCCACUUAAGAACCUUUAUGAACUAUGCGAAUCCCUCGAAUGGUUACAUAUGCAAAUGUAUAACUUUAUCCUUAUCUUAAUCAUUUCAAUUAUGUAUUCAAUAAUGCAUUAUUAGAAGCUUAACGGAGCAACGUCUUAUGCGAUUUAAUCAAGAUCUUGAGAAAAAUGGAAUUUCGGACAGAGCCGAGCAAUACCUAAAAGCCGGUUUGAAGCAUUAAGAUAUAAUCUGAAGACAGCGCAUUGGGUACGUUACUAAGAGCUAAAAUAUGAACAGACUACCAUCCCGAUUUAACCGUGCUGUAUCAAAUUCAAGUAUAUGCAUAAGAACACAAAAAAUCAAAUAAUACUUUAACGUCUUUCAAGAUAUUCAAGCACCAUGAAAAUGACAUGAUUAUUAUGAUUAUUGUUUAAGGAAAUAUACAUAAA